Molecule: non-coding RNA, 116 nt
Organism: Acanthosepion pharaonis
Lineage: Eukaryota; Metazoa; Mollusca; Cephalopoda; Sepiida; Sepiidae
Source: the annotation of a GenBank genome assembly
UUAUGGCCAUAUCAUGUUGAAAUACAGCUUCUCAUGAGAUCACCAAAGUUAAGCAACAUUGAACUUUGUUAGUACCUAGAUGGGUGACCACCUUGAGAAUUCCAGAUGCUGCAAGC